This 493-nucleotide ribosomal RNA is filed under the name uncultured bacterium. Its description in RNAcentral is "partial 16S ribosomal RNA". It matches the Rfam family "Bacterial small subunit ribosomal RNA", at positions 29 to 507 of the family's 1533-position model. The record is from RNAcentral.
ACGAACGCUGGCGGCGUGCUUCACACAUGCAAGUCGAACGGUGAAGCGCCUUCCUUUUUGGUGGGUGUGGAUGAGUGGCGAACGGGUGAGUAACACGUGAGUAACCUGCCCCCUUCUUCUGGAUAACCGCAUGAAAGUGUGGCUAAUACGGGAUAUUCUGGGUCUGUCGCAUGAUGGGUCUGGGAAAGAUAUUGUUUCGGUGGGGGAUGGGCUCGCGGCCUAUCAGCUUGUUGGUGGGGUGAUGGCCUACCAAGGCGGUGACGGGUAGCCGGCCUGAGAGGGUGGACGGUCACACUGGGACUGAGACACGGGCCAGACUGCUACGGGAGGCAGCAGUGGGGAAUAUUGCACAAUGGGCGCAAGCCUGAUGCAGCGACGCCGCGUGAGGGAUGGAGGCCUUCGGGUUGUGAACCUCUUUCGCCAGUGAAGCAGGCCUGCCUCGUUUGUGGGUGGGUUGACGGUAGCUGGAUAAGAAGCGCCGGCUAACUACGUG